CUGAGGAAGCAGAAGUUAACCUGAGAGGGAGCAGGCCCGAGCUUUGAAGUUCACGGUUUUGUUUCCUUGACGGCCUCGUUAGCUCCGCGCGUCUCCUCACGCGCGCCGGGCCCCGACCGACCGGGCCCGUCUCCCCGGCCUCUCGGAACGGGCCUCGCGUUUGGAAGUGCGGUUUUGGUUGGGAGGUCGGAGGGGCCAUGUUUGAGUCCUCGUUUUCUACUUUGAGUUCACUUGUGGGCUCUUUCCUUUUUUCGGCCCGAGACCCGACUGUGCCGCCCUAGGAGCCGGCGUGGCCUGCAGGGAGACUGAUUGCCGGCCGCUCCCCGCGUCCUCUCGGCCCCGACUUCCGCCCACCCCCAAACUGCAGGGCUCCGAGGUUCUUUCCCGCAGGCUCCGGCCCCGAAAGGGCAAUUUCCUUGGGGGGUUGUGUUUGGGCGAGAGGAGAACAGAACAGGGGUGUUGGGGGCCUGGAACCCGCGGCGUUUUAUUGCAUCCGCCGCGCAGCUGGAAUCGGCCCGGGCCUAUUCGGGACGGGGGCGGGGGAGUGGGGCGCCCAUUUCCCACGGGCGACCCGGGGCGGAAGUCGGGGCCGUCGGGUUGGGCUCCCCAAGGCGGCGGGGUCACUCGGCCGCGAGGGCCUUCGAGGGCGGCCCCGCAUGCAGCAGGAUCUGUCGUGUAGUAGGCAGAAGUACACACAAACCAAGCCCGCGCCCAGCCGCCUUCCACUCCGCCCUGAUAAGGGCCAGCGACAGUAUGUCCAUGUAUGUUCCACAAGGACAUUUUUGAGAGUUGUGGGUUUCCAAAAUUUUAAGCACUAGAAAAGAAGAAAUCGAAAAAUGUGAGUAUAGGAUUUUGUUAGAGCAAUUUUUGCCUUUUAUUUAUUUAUUUUGGUGUAUAGAGUUACUUCACAAUGUUUGUGGAAAGUGGAAUGAAAGUUAAAUUUAUUUUAGGUACAAAAAAAGUGAGACCCAUGCCUAGUUUUGUAUAAUGUGCAUUUCGAUGAAUUUUUGAAGACCUUUGGUGUUUACACAACACAAUGUUAAAUGGGAUUUUAGCAGUGGCUGUAGACAAUUCAAACAGAUUUCCUUAUCUGCUUUCCCCUGAUAUUGUCAUCUACAUGUAAUUCAGGGCUGAUCACAAUUCCAUGUCACUUUGAGCUGAAUAGACACGAACGCUUCUUGAAUCUUCCCUGUUUGCUUCCAUGACUGGGGAGAAGUGGGCAGUAUUUGGAAAUAUCUCAUAUCACUGCUGCGACUGCCUGAGGAAUCAUGUGAGCACUAUGGCUGCUACUUUGUUAGGUGCACAGUUGCCUGGGGUGUCUCUUACUAGUUUCUGCUCAUACGCGCGUAGGUCCUCGGAUCUGGAUUAACCGGAAAGUACGGCUGACAUUUCUAAUCUGAAAUCCUGAAAUCCAAAAUGCUCAUAAAUCUGACACUUUUUGAGUGCCAUCCUGAUGCAAAGUCCAACGUUUUGGACUUUGGACCACUUUGGAUUUCAGAGUUUCACAUUAGGGGAUGCUCAACUAGAAAAGUUGAUGAAAAUGUCCCCAAAUCUGAAAAAUUCCAGAAUCUGAAACACUCCAGUCCCAACAUUUCAGAAAAGGGCUACUCUACCUGUACAGGAAAGAUCAAUUAGAGAUUGUCUGGAAAAUUCAGAUCAAAAACUACUUUGCAUGGAAAUACAUCCAAGGG
RNAcentral lists this long non-coding RNA (1691 nucleotides) under Oryctolagus cuniculus (rabbit). Its description in RNAcentral is "lncRNA (ENSOCUG00000037688.1)". Lineage: Eukaryota; Metazoa; Chordata; Mammalia; Lagomorpha; Leporidae. The record is from RNAcentral.